UGACAAUUACUGUUUUUACUGUAUUUUUAUCAAAUAAAUGCAGAUUUGGUGAGCAUAAGAGGCUUCAUAAAUGAUUUCGAAAUCAUUUAAAAAUGUGUAGUGUCUGACAAAAAUGUACAUUUAUCAGUUUAUGCACUCCAUGUUCAAACCCAUGACAUUGGCAUUGACUAUUACCAUUCUCUACUUUGAUGUGCUCUAAUUUCUCUGCUAGAAAUUUAGCAAUACGCCUUUGAGGUCGUGUGGCAUAAAAUUGUGGCUAAGCUCAUAUCUGGUGAAGCAGGAAGUUGUUGGUUUGUUCCCUGCAAGAAAUGAGUCAGAUACCAUUGCUAUUGAUCCCUCAAGCAAAAUGUACAGUAAUCAAAAUUGAGCUUAUUUAAAUUGAUUCAUCAGUGCACAUUAUUGUGAAGAAAAACGUUUAAUUAAGUAUUUCAUCAAAAUGUAAUGAUUUUCUCCUCUUCACAAACCAUUUUCCUUUUCAACUGAUCCUAGAACAUGCAGACCAUUGGCAAGUAAUGAUUUGAAAGAAAAAAAAAGUGUUGGCAUUGGGAUAUCUGGUCUUUCUUAUCAUUUACAUCAUAAUAAGUUUCCUUUUUUUUGGUUUUUUUUCAUGAUUUUAUGACUAUCGGGCCUUGAAAUGUGACAUUUUGCAAUUUACCCGGAAACCAAAAUAGUAUUAAGCAAGAUUAAUUUGAUCUCAGACUUCUUGGUUUGUGUGAAACAGUUUCCACUUAUAACGCACACUGCAAAAAGCCCACUAAACUGACAUCAAACUUGGCAGGGCCAUAACCACUAAUAAUUAUAUGGCCAAAUUGUAUUUCAUACACUUGGAAUCAAACCCCCCUAACCUGGAAGACAUUAUGGUUUUGUGAACACAAUUGUAUGAAAACACUUCAACUAAGGCAUAAGUAAACCAUCAUAGAAAGCUUAUAAUUACACAUUUGAGUGAUUCUGAUAACAUAAAGUUGAGUUACUGAGUUCAAAAUAUCAAACUGGCUAUAAACAUCCAUUUACAAAAUUAUCCAACCCCAAAAGUUACAUUUUGUAGAGAAUCCUUCACUUCUAUAACCUCAAAUAAAUAUUGUCUAUAAGUGCUUACAAGCUUCUUGCACUCUACUGGAAUCUUCGGCCAUUCCUUGUGUGUACAAGCUUCCAGCUCACUGAUAUUCUUUGGUUUCUGUGCUGCCAAGGAUAUCACCAAGGAUUUUAUAGGAAAUUUAAAUCUGGAAACUGAGCAGGCCAUUUAAGAACAGUCCAGGAUUGAUACCUGAACAAAGCUUUGGUAUUUGGAUCUAUACUUGGGAUCAUUGUCCGGGUGGAAAGUCCAAUUAUCAAGUAAAACUUUAGUUUACAUUCUCCAGGCAUAAUAUAAUCUUUGCCAAAAUGGCCUGAUAAUCCAAUAAAUUCAUGACGCUGAUCACAUGGUCAAGAAAGUGUUCUUCUGGUCAUAAGUCAAGCCGACUACUUCGGAUCCAUGGGUCCAGAAAGUUCCCGUUUGAUCUCAUCACUCCAUAAAACAUUCUUCCAGAAUGCCACAGGACUAUCCAAGUUCAUUUAGCAUAUUCAAGUUUGCCUUUUAUGUUCUCUUGGUCAAGAGUGGCAUUUGUCAAGGCGUCCGGACAUGAAGUCAAUGCUUGUUUGUUUAGCUAUCAACUUGUCUACCAACUGUGACUCUAGGAUCUUUUAGUGUCUUGGAAAUGUUCUUGUAGCCCUAGCCUUCUUCUCUUAGCUUUUGUGAGAGCUAUUUUGUUUUUGCUACUCAACUUCAGUACAUGCAUGGGCUAAAAUUAUGCAUGGCUUACAACUGAAGCUAAUUAAUUUUCGUUAUAGAGUUCCCAAAGGCUUAUAAGUAACCCCAAGUAAUAUUAUAGCACAAAGAAGAUAUUUUUGAUAGAUAUCCAUAUAAUGAAUGUGGGUUCAAAAUAACAAUGGGCUCCAUUAACUUUCAUUGUUUGGACAAAACAUCCCACUGAGGCACAUAUUUAAAAACUGUUGUGUUCCACAGAAGAAAGUUGAAUGUUUGGAGCCAUAUGAGGUUAGUAAAUAUCCUAGUGUGAGCCUAUAGCACCAUCAGCUGUUAGUUAUAGAGAAUCUGAAGUUGUUUGGUUGAAAUGUGUGUACAGUACACUAUGAUUGUAAGGCUUUGUUAGUUUUUUUGUUGUUGUUUUUUUACAAAAUCCAUGAUGAAAAAAUUCAACAACAUUUUUUACAUGACUAAGACAAGACUGAACUGUGUAUAUAAAAAUAUUUCAUGCAAUGCAAUAUUGUUAAUGAAAAAAAAGACAACCUUAGCGAAAAAAAAAAAACCGAUACCAAAAUGUAAUAAAAAUACAUCUAUUUCAUACUAAGUAUAAUACAGAUCCAUUGACAUAUUUAAUGACAUAUCACUUGAGACUUACUUUAAACUUUUUUUGGAGUACUUCUUUUGCACAAUGCACAUUUCUUAAUAUUAAGCCUAAAAUGUGUUACACUGUUAGGAGGGAUAGUAUGAUCUCUGUAUCAUAUCAGUCUUUAAAUGCAACGUAUUUAAAGUGUACCUAAAUUAUACUUGCAAUAGUUCAAUUUUAGCACAAUCAAAUAUACUUCAGUAUAUCUUUAGUUGGACCUCAGCACUACUUCUUGAUAACUAAAGUGCAUUAAGUACAAAAUUAGUUGUUCCAUUUUAGCAGACUUCAAGUAUAUAAAUUUAGUAUACCAAAAGUACAAUUGCAGGAUAUUUAUAUAAAGUACAUAAAUAUGUAAAUGUAUGUAGUUGUUACGUAUGCAGGUAGAGAGAUGAGGCUGAUACAGAUUUCCACAAUAGCAACUAUACAUUUAUUAAACAGAAGGCAGCAAUCACCAAACAUACAUUUAACAAAACAGAGAACGGACAAGGAGUGCAGGGAGUGAGUGCCAUAUAAAGGGAGUGGUGAUAAUAGAGUCCAGGUGCAUGUGAUGAGUGAUGAUGAGGAGCUGACGAGGGAAGUGAGUGCAGGUGACGAAACAGGAGGAUCAUGGGAAUUAGAGUCCAGGGGAACAGGGGAUCUGUGACAGUAGUAUACUUAGCAUAAUAUAAAUGUAUUUAAAAUACAUUUUGGUAUGUUUAUUUUUCACUUGGAAAGACUAAAAUGGAGAAUAAAAAAACAAAAUCUUAUCUUUAUUUAAUUGACAAAUAAGUAGAUUUUUUUUUUUUUUUUUUUUUGAUGGAUUUUGUUGACUAAAAAAAUAAAAUUCCCAGACAUUUAGUCAAGUAAAACUUGACAAAACAAAUAUCAGGUUAAGGUUGAACAUCUAAAACUAAUUGAGUCUCUUCAGGAAGAGAUUCGUCGGUGUGAAAGUUUUUUGCAGAUAAUUGCUUAAUAUUUCCUCUUUACUAAAACAGCUUCUCUUAUUAACACUGCUACAGACGUUUCCAGUCCUGUUAACAUGGUUUUAGGUGGAGGGUUCAUUUACAUCUCUCUUGAGGUGCUCAUCGCUGUGGGAUGCUGUCUGGGCAAUGUGCUGGUGAUGUGGGCCGUGUGGAGGAGUGGAGCCCUGAACCAAACCACUUUCUGCCUGAUUGUGUCACUGGCGAUGGCUGAUUUCCUGGUUGGAGCCGUGGCCGUUCCUCUGGCUGUGGUUGUGGACGUCCAUGUGAUGAUCCCUUUCCGUGCGUGUCUGUUCAUCAGUUGUGUCCUGAUCGUCCCGCUGCAAGCAUCAGUGCUCACCCUCCUGGCCAUUGCUGUGGAUCGCUAUCUGCGAGUCUGUAUCCCAUUCAGGUACAAGACUACAGUCACUAAGAAGCGCUCAUGGAUCAUCGCCGCUUUGUGCUGGAUUCUGGCUUCUGUUCUGGGCUUCUUACCGAUGUUUGGAUGGUACAACCAUGACACACUGACACAUUACAACUCCACCUCUAUAGACUGUCAAUUCAUUACUGUCAUUCCCACUUCAUACUUGGUCCACUUCAUCUACCAGGGGUGUUUUCUUCCUCCACUGGCAGUCAUGAUUACUUUGUAUUGCUACAUCUUUUUUAAAAUUAGGAGACAGUCGAGGGGGAGAGCAGGUGUGGCGGCUGAAACUGGUGCAUAUAAUCAAAAAGAACACAAACUGGCCAGCUCUCUGGUUUUGGUUUUGGCUCUUUUUAUUGUUUGCUGGCUGCCAAUACACUUGAUACAAGCCAUCACAUACUAUAACCAGAAUAUACAUGUACCAUCCAUUGCUUUGUACUUUGGCAUUCUCCUUUCUCAUGCCAACUCAAUGGUUAACCCUGUAGUGUAUGCCUUCAAAAUCCCUAAGAUUAAGCAGGAGUACAGGAAGAUUUGGAGGAAAGUGAUUGGUCGACAGCAGCAGGCAGAUAUAAACACUCCUGCUAGUGAUACCACAGAGAGCCACGAUGGACAAGUUCAUGUGAGAAUCAGUCCACAGGUGCUCAUUGCUGUGGGAUGCUGUCUGGGCAAUUUGCUGGUGAUGUGGGCCGUGUGGAGGAGUGGAGCCCUGAACCAAACCACUUUCUGCCUGAUUGUGUCGUUGGCGAUGGCAGAUUUCCUGGUUGGAGCCGUGGCCGUUCCUCUGGCUGUGGUUGUGGACGUCCAUGUGAAGAUCCCUUUCCAUGCGUGUCUGUUCAUCAGUUGUGUCCUGAUCGUCCCGCAGCAAGCGUCAGUGCUCACCCUCCUGGCCAUUGCUGUGGAUCGUUAUCUGCGAGUCUGUAUCGCAUUCAGGAGGAACUGAAAAAGGCGGCUGCUGUUUGUGGCGCUCAGUGACUUUCUGUCUACAACUCUGCGUUGCCUUAUGGAAUGCACUGAUGAUGUGUGAUGUCUGCGUGGGCAGGCGGGGGAGGGGGAUGGAAAAACAUAUGUCGACAGGCAGGUACAAGACUACAGUCACUAAGAAACGCUCAUGGAUCAUCGCCGCUUUGUGCUGGAUUCUGGCUUCCGUACUGGGCUUCUUACCGAUGUUUGGAUGAAGAAAGUCAAUUGUUUGGAGCCAUAUGAGGUUAGUAAAUGAUGACAGAAGAAUUAUACCUAGUGUGACCCUAUAGCGCCAUCAGCUGUUAGUUAUAGAGAAUCUGAAGUUGUUUGGUUGAAAUGUGUGUACAGUACAUUAUAAUUGCAAGGCUUCAUUAGUUUUUUUGUUUUUUUUACAAAAUCCAUGUUGAAAAAAAUCAACAACCUUUUUUACAUGACUAAGACAAGACUAAACUGUGUAUAUAAUAAUAUUUUAUGCAAUGCAAUAUUGUUAAUGAAAAAAGACAACCUUAGUUAGAAAAAAUCUAUACCAAAAUGUAUUUAGAAUACAUCUAUUUUAUACUAAGUAUAAUACAAAUCCAUUGACAUAUUUACUGAUAUAUCGCUUAAGACUUACUUUAAACUUUAUUUGGAAUACUUCUUUUGCAAAAUGCACAUUUUUUAAUAUUAAGCUUAAAAUAUGUUUCACUGUUAGGAGGGAUAGUAUGAUCUCUGUAUCAUAUCAGUCUUUAAAUGCAAAGUGUGUCUUUAGUUGGACCUCAGCACAACUUCUUGAUACCUAAAGUGCAUUAAGUACAAAAUUAGUUCCAAUUUAGCAGACUUCAGGUAUAUCAAUUUAGUAUACCAAAAGUACAAUUGCAGGAUAUUUAUAUAAAGUACAUAAAUAUGUAAAUAUAUUUGUAGUAUACUUAGCAUAAUAUAAAUGUAUUUCAAAUACAUUUUGGUAUGUUUAUUUUUCACUUGGGAAGACUAAAAUGUAGAUUAAAAAACAAAAUCUAUCUUUAUUUAAUUGACAAAUAAAUAGACAAAGACUUUUUUUGAUGGAUUUUGUUGACUAAAGCCGCGCACACACUUAACGAUUGUAAGGCCGAUUA
This is an RNA transcript of Megalobrama amblycephala (Wuchang bream), 5794 nucleotides long. It is a transcript of the gene named adenosine receptor A3-like, with no coding region annotated. The record is from RefSeq and is a predicted model, not a curated record. The transcript is spliced from 6 exons. Lineage: Eukaryota; Metazoa; Chordata; Actinopteri; Cypriniformes; Xenocyprididae.